AGCCUUCUUGGAAUGCCUACUAUGUGCCAGACAUGAAAGCAGAUGCUUUUUUCAAAUACUUCUGUCGGAUGAACUUUCUUAUUAUUGUGGUACAGAUGAGGAGGCAAAAUCAUUUGUCUAAGACCCCACUGUUUCAGCUGCAAGCUUUCGUGGCUCCUCAGUUUGCAUUUUUUCCUCACUGCAGUAUCACUUUGUGAAGGAGGUCUGAAGUCUUCAAAUGAAAAUAGAGUUUUCUCCUUAUAUUUUACUUUCUCCAGCUGCAAAGCUGAAGGCAAAGCUGAAGAAUCCUGGACACUCUCCUUUGUUCAAAUAAAACUUCUAUUUACACAGGAUUUGCUAAAGGAGUACAAGGAAAUGGCAGAGAUAGCAUUAAGCUCACACAGCAGUUCCGGAAAGCGCCCCUUCAUUGUUCUCAGGCUCGUACCUGCAGUAACAGGGCCUAUAGGCUUUGAACACAAGACAACUGAGUUCGGAACCUCAGAAGAAUUCUGGAUAUGGUACAAAAAAAUUCAGGUUCAAAUUCCUGUUGUGCUCAAGUUUAGAUAUACGAUGAUCAUUGCUUUUUAAACCUGCUGGGGCUUAUUUUUUCAUCUGCGAUAUAAAGAUGAUUAUACUAAUUUCUUCAAAGGAUGACAUGAGCAGGAAAUGAGCUAAUGUAUGGAGACAGUUUCAUGAACUGUCCAGCACUCUACAUAUAUAAGAGGUAAUGACUGUUUUUCCUAGCCCAUGUACUUCAGGUCUCGGCUGUCCCUCUCCUGCCCUCAGGUCUGGCAAACCCCACCUAUCAACUAGCCAUGGCUGCUGUGCUGUUUCAGGGCCCUGCUUGAUGAUCCAAGCGGAUGUGGGGUCUUCCUAAAGACAAUGCAUUGUGAUUGUGACCAGAAGGAAACUUAAGUCCAAGUCCUCAGUGAAUUAUCUGGGACUCAGUGUCUUCAGCUGUAAAAUAAAGUUAUUGACUACAUUUUGAAAUUCCGUUAUAGAAAUGCCUGCCCCAUAAGCAGGCAUGAUUUAUAUUGGGGCACUGUAUCUGUCUCCCGUAUGAAGAAAAAAGCUUAUAGUUCAUUCUUUUUCUUCCCUGGGUUUUUGAGUCUAAGCCCUUAUUUUCCACAAGCUGGGAAACUGGAAGAAGGGAAACACCGCAAUAAAUCUGCUGAAUUAGCCACCACCCCUUUCUCCUCAUCCCCACCAGGCUUGGGAGCCUGAACCACCUACAGGCCUCCCCACCCUUCCUAAGGAGAACAGGAGCCACUUAUCAGCUCCAGCUUUGGAGCUUUGCAAGC
RNAcentral lists this long non-coding RNA (1280 nucleotides) under Homo sapiens (human). RNAcentral's name for it is "HSALNT0298427". The record is from RNAcentral. Lineage: Eukaryota; Metazoa; Chordata; Mammalia; Primates; Hominidae.